GGGCCUGUAGCUCAGAGGAUUAGAGCACGUGGCUACGAACCACGGUCUCGCAAAUUCUUUGCUCCUCGCCCA
RNAcentral lists this transfer RNA (72 nucleotides) under Cucumis melo subsp. melo. Its description in RNAcentral is "tRNA-Arg". The record is from RNAcentral. Lineage: Eukaryota; Viridiplantae; Streptophyta; Magnoliopsida; Cucurbitales; Cucurbitaceae.